Molecule: ribosomal RNA, 257 nt
Filed under: uncultured bacterium
Lineage: Bacteria
Description: partial 16S ribosomal RNA
Rfam family: Bacterial small subunit ribosomal RNA
Source: RNAcentral
UACGUAGGGCGCAAGCGUUAUCCGGAAUUAUUGGGCGUAAAGAGCUCGUAGGCGGUUUGUCGCGUCUGCCGUGAAAGUCCGGGGCUCAACUCCGGAUCUGCGGUGGGUACGGGCAGACUAGAGUGAUGUAGGGGAGACUGGAAUUCCUGGUGUAGCGGUGAAAUGCGCAGAUAUCAGGAGGAACACCGGUGGCGAAGGCGGGGUCUCUGGGCCGUAAACUGACGCUGGAGGAGCGAAAAGCGUGGGGAGCGAACAGG